RNAcentral lists this unclassified non-coding RNA (378 nucleotides) under plant metagenome. Its description in RNAcentral is "partial contains 5.8S ribosomal RNA, internal transcribed spacer 2, and large subunit ribosomal RNA". The stretch from base 1 to 105 matches the Rfam family "5.8S ribosomal RNA", at positions 50 to 154 of the family's 154-position model. The record is from RNAcentral.
GAAAUGCGAUAAGUAAUGUGAAUUGCAGAAUUCAGUGAAUCAUCGAAUCUUUGAACGCACCUUGCGCUCCUUGGUAUUCCUUGGAGCAAGCCUGUUUGAGUAUCAUGAAAUCUUCAAAGUAAAUCUUUUGUUAACUCAAUUGGUUUCUACUUUGGUAUUGGAGGUCUUUGCAGCUUCACACCUGCUCCUCUUUGUUCAUUAGCUGGAUCUCAGUGUUAUGCUUGGUUCCACUCGGCGUGAUAAGUUAUCUAUCGCUGAGGACACUGUAAAAGGUGGCCAAGGUAAAUGCAGAUGAACCGCUUCUAAUAGUCCAUUGACUUGGACAAUACUUUUAUGAUCUGAUCUCAAAUCAGGUAGGACUACCCGCUGAACUUAAGC